RNAcentral lists this ribosomal RNA (429 nucleotides) under Bacteroidota bacterium. RNAcentral describes it as "Bacteroidetes bacterium partial 16S ribosomal RNA". It matches the Rfam family "Bacterial small subunit ribosomal RNA", at positions 355 to 776 of the family's 1533-position model. Lineage: Bacteria; Pseudomonadati; Bacteroidota. The record is from RNAcentral.
UAGGGAAUCUUCGGCAAUGGGGGGAACCCUGACCGAGCAACGCCGCGUGAGUGAAGAAGGUUUUCGGAUCGUAAAGCUCUGUUGUUAAGGAAGAACGAGUGUGAGAAUGGAAAGUUCAUGCUGUGACGGUACUUAACCAGAAAGGGACGGCUAACUACGUGCCAGCAGCCGCGGUAAUACGUAGGUCCCGAGCGUUGUCCGGAUUUAUUGGGCGUAAAGCGAGCGCAGGCGGUUAGAAAAGUCUGAAGUGAAAGGCAGUGGCUCAACCAUUGUAGGCUUUGGAAACUGUUUAACUUGAGUGCAGAAGGGGAGAGUGGAAUUCCAUGUGUAGCGGUGAAAUGCGUAGAUAUAUGGAGGAACUCCGGUGGCGAAAGCGGCUCUCUGGUCUGUAACUGACGCUGAGGCUCGAAAGCGUGGGGAGCGAACAGG